This 476-nucleotide ribosomal RNA is filed under the name Macolor macularis (midnight snapper). Its description in RNAcentral is "partial small subunit ribosomal RNA". It matches the Rfam family "Bacterial small subunit ribosomal RNA", at positions 788 to 1491 of the family's 1533-position model. The record is from RNAcentral. Lineage: Eukaryota; Metazoa; Chordata; Actinopteri; Lutjaniformes; Lutjanidae.
CACUAUGCCUAGCCAUAAACCUUGAUAGCAACCUACCCCUACUAUCCGCCCGGGGACUACGAGCAUCAGCUUGAAACCCAAAGGACUUGGCGGUGCUUUAGAUCCACCUAGAGGAGCCUGUUCUAGAACCGAUUACCCCCGUUCAACCUCACCUUUUCUUGCCCCUCCCGCCUAUAUACCACCGUCGUCAGCUUACCCUGUGAAGGACUUAUAGUAAGCAAGAUUGGCAUAGCCCAAAACGUCAGGUCGAGGUGUAGCGUAUGAAAAGGGAAGAAAUGGGCUACAUUCCCUAACACAGUGAACUACGAACGAUACGCUGAAACACGUAUCUGAAGGAGGAUUUAGCAGUAAGCAGAAAAUAGAGCGUUCCGCUGAAACCGGCCCUGAAGCGCGCACACACCGCCCGUCACUCUCCCCGAGCCCACCAACAUCAAAUACUUAAAACCUCUAAACUGCAAAGGGGAGGCAAGUCGUAA